AUUAAAGUAAGCUAAAUAAAGCUGGUGGGUUCAUACCUCAAAUAUGGGAUAUUUUUGCU
Molecule: transfer RNA, 59 nt
Filed under: Phyxioschema suthepium
Lineage: Eukaryota; Metazoa; Arthropoda; Arachnida; Araneae; Euagridae
Description: tRNA-Met
Source: RNAcentral